Molecule: non-coding RNA, 30 nt
Filed under: Rattus norvegicus (Norway rat)
Lineage: Eukaryota; Metazoa; Chordata; Mammalia; Rodentia; Muridae
Source: RNAcentral
UAUUCUGGAGUAUCCUAAGGUGAAGUGGUA